UUCUCCACAUAGAAGAGAAGUGGAAACUAAACGAACAAGAACCCUCUCCGGCAAACAUACUGAAGACACGCAUAAUGAAGACGGCUUUCUGAAACGUGCAACAUUACGGGUCAAAGGGAAAGGAUACAUAACAACCAGUGUCCUUUUUCGGCUGUAUGAGAUGUCACCGUCAGCGCGAAAGGCAAGCGAAAACAUAACUACAAUUUGCGGCCUUAAAGCAGCGAAAGAGCAUGACAUGCUUUUCCGUGACUGCAAUGCGAGCACGGCUCGGAGGAACGACGACUGGCGCCAAACCAACGAGACCAGCGCAGGUCACAU
Long non-coding RNA from Pollicipes pollicipes, 318 nucleotides. RefSeq lists it as uncharacterized. The transcript has 3 exons. Lineage: Eukaryota; Metazoa; Arthropoda; Thecostraca; Pollicipedomorpha; Pollicipedidae. The record is from RefSeq and is a predicted model, not a curated record.